GGCGUGUCCAUGCCCCGUUGCCCCGCCCCCCCGACCUCUGACCCCUCCCUUAGCCCCGCCCCCUGCUUCCGGAUCUGCCCGGGCCGGAAGGUGCUGUGGCUGAGGGGGCGGGACCAACUGCUGUCACUCAGCUCGGCCCCGCCCCCCGGCCCCGCCCACUGCCUAUGGGUGGUGGUGGGCGGGGACAGGCCGUGUAGCCCCGCCCCUUCGCCUGGCCACGCCCCCUCCUCGGACAACGCCUCUCAUGUUGGCCCCGCCCCUUCCAUUGGCCCCGCCCCCUCGCCUGGCCCCGCCCCCCCGCCCUGCCCCUCGCUGUCCAUCAUGGUGCUGCCCCGCCCCCAAGGUGGCGGCGGCUGUCAGGAUGUUUACACCUUCCUCUUCGAUGGGAUCCCAGCGUCGCUGCUCGGGGGGGGGCUGCGGGGCGACCCCAAAGUGCUGGGGGCGUUUUGUGGGGGGGGGCCAACCCGACCCCAAAUGUUGGUGGNNNNNNNNNNNNNNNNNNNNNNNNNNNNNNNNNNNNNNNNNNNNNNNNNNNNNNNNNUAUGGGUCUCUGUGGGGUCCCAAUGGGGUCUCUGGGGGGUCUCUAUGGGGUCGCUAUGGUCUCUCUCUGUGGGGUCUCUCUGUGUCUCUCUAUGGGGUCCCUAUGGGUUUCUGUGGGGUCUCUCUAUUGGUCUCUGUGGGGUCUCUCUAUGGGGUCUCUUUAUGGGGUAUCUCUGGGUCUUUAUGGGGUCUCUAUGGGUCUCUCUAUGGGGUCUCUAUGGGGUUUCUAUGGGUCUCUAUGGGGUCUCUAUGGGGUCUCUCUAUGGGUCUCUAUGGGGUCUCUAUGGAUCUCUAUGGGGUCUCUAUGGGUCUCUAUGGGGUCUCUAUGGGGUCUCUAUGGGUCUCUAUGGGUCUUUAUGGGUUUCUAUGGGUUUCUGUGGAGUCUCUCUAUGGGGUCUCUAUGGGGUCAUUAUGGGUCUCUACGGGGUGUCUAUGUGGGCUCUCUAUGGGUCUGUAUGGGGUCUCUAUGGGUCUCUUUGGGUCUCUAUGGGGUCUCUCUAUGGGGUCUCUGUUGGGUCUCUAUGGGGUCUCUGUUGGGUCUCUAUGGGGCUCUGUAUGGGGCUCUGUAUGGGGUCUCUAUGGGUCUCUAUUGGUCUCUAUGGGGUCUCUAUGGGGUCUCUAUGGGUCUCUCUAUGGGUCUCUCUAUGGGGUCUCUCUAUGGCUCUCUAUGGGGUCUCUCUAUGAGGUCUCUCUAUGGGGCUCUCUAUGGGGUCUCUCUAUGGGUCUCUAUGGGUCUCUAUUGGUCUCUAUGGGUCUCUAUGGGUCCCUAUGGAUCUCUACGGAUCUCUGUAGGUCCCUAUGUGUCCCAGUGGGUCCCUAUGGUGUCUGCCUAUGGGGUCUCUAUGGGGUCCCUAUGGGUCCCUCUGUGUCCCAGUGGGUCCCUAUGGGGUCUGCCUAUGUGUCCCUAUGUGUCCCUAUGUGUCCCAGUGGGUCCCAGUGGGUCUCUAUGGGGUCUGCCUAUGUGUCCCUAUGUGUCCCAGUGGGUCCCAGUGGGUCUCUAUGGGGUCUCUAUGGGGUCUCUAUGGGGCUCUCUAUGGGGU
Long non-coding RNA from Phasianus colchicus (ring-necked pheasant), 1580 nucleotides. The record is from Ensembl. NCBI's taxonomy places the organism in Eukaryota, Metazoa, Chordata, Aves, Galliformes, Phasianidae.